GGGGGCUUAGCUCAGUUGGGAGAGCACCUGCCUUGCAAGCAGGGGGUCGAGAGUUCGAAUCUCUUAGUCUCCA
RNAcentral lists this transfer RNA (73 nucleotides) under Lachnospiraceae bacterium. RNAcentral's name for it is "tRNA-Ala". It matches the Rfam family "tRNA". Rfam says of the family: Transfer RNA (tRNA) molecules are approximately 80 nucleotides in length. Their secondary structure includes four short double-helical elements and three loops (D, anti-codon, and T loops). Lineage: Bacteria; Bacillati; Bacillota; Clostridia; Lachnospirales; Lachnospiraceae. RNAcentral also lists the same sequence under 9 other names. The record is from RNAcentral.